CCUUCGGGUGGCAGCAGUGAGGAAUAUUGGUCAAUGGGCUUACGCCUGAACCAGCCAAGUCGCGUGAGGGAAGACUGCCCUAUGGGUUGUAAACCUCUUUUGUCAGGGAGCAAUUGGCGCUACGUGUAGCGUUAUCGAGAGUACCUGAAGAAAAAGCAUCGGCUAACUCCGUGCCAGCAGCCGCGGUAAUACGGAGGAUGCGGGCGUUAUCCGGAUUGAUUGGGUUUAAAGGGUGCGUAGGCGGAAUGCCAAGUCAGCGGUAAAAUCGGGGGGCUCAACCUCGCCACGCCGUUGAAACGUGCGUUCGUGAGUGGGCGAGAAGUAUGCGUAAUGCGUGGUGUAGCGGUGAAAUGCAUCGAUAUCACGCAGAACUCCGAUUGCGAAGGCAGCAUACCGGCGCCCAACUGACGCUGAAGCACGAAAGCGUGGGUAUCGAACAGGAGUAGAUACCCUGGUAGUC
Molecule: ribosomal RNA, 460 nt
Filed under: uncultured bacterium
Lineage: Bacteria
Description: partial 16S ribosomal RNA
Rfam family: Bacterial small subunit ribosomal RNA
Source: RNAcentral